RNAcentral lists this ribosomal RNA (414 nucleotides) under uncultured bacterium. RNAcentral describes it as "bacterial SSU rRNA". It matches the Rfam family "Bacterial small subunit ribosomal RNA", at positions 505 to 916 of the family's 1533-position model. The record is from RNAcentral.
GUGCCAGCCGCCGCGGUAAUACGAGUGCCCCAAGCGUUAUCCGGAAUCAUUGGGCGUAAAGGGUGUGUAGGCGGUUUAGUUAGUCUUCUGUUAAACCCCCGGGCUUAACUCGGGAACUGCAGAAGAAACGGCUAAACUUCGAGGCUGCGAGAGGUGAAUGGAACUCAUGGAGUAGGGGUGAAAUCCGUUGAUAUCAUGGGGAACACCGAAAGCGAAGGCAAUUCACUGGCGCAGAUCUGACGCUCUGACACGAAAGCGUGGGUAGCGAACGGGAUUAGAUACCCCGGUAGUCCACGCCCUAAACGUUGCGAACUAGCUUUAGGGAGUAUCGACCCUCUCUGAGGCGAAGCUAACGCGUUAAGUUCGCCGCCUGGGUAGUACGGCCGCAAGGCUAAAACUCAAAGGAAUUGGCGG